AGUGGCGAACGGGUGAGUAACACGUGGGCAACCUGCCCCUUAGUUGAGGAUAACUAUUGGAAACGAUAGCUAAUACUGAAUACGAUGUACAAACGCAUGUGAGUACAUUGAAAGAAGCGUUUGCUUCGCUAAGGGAUGGGCCUGCGGUGCAUUAGCUAGUUGGUGCGGUAACGGCGUACCAAGGCGACGAUGCAUAUCCGGGCUGAGAGGCUGAACGGACACAUUGGGACUGAGACACGGCCCAAACUUCUACGGAAGGCUGCAGUAGGGAAUUUUUCGCAAUGGGCGCAAGCCUGACGAAGCAAUGCCGCGUGAGGGAUGAAGGUUUUCGGAUUGUAAACCUCUGUUAUAAGGGAAGAAAACCUAGUAUAGGAAAUGAUACUAGCUUGACGGUACCUUAUCAGAAAGGGACGGCUAACUACGUGCCAGCAGCCGCGGUAAUACGUAGGUCCCGAGCGUUAUCCGGAAUUAUUGGGCGUAAAGAGCAUGUAGGCGGUCUAUUAAGUCUGGUGUGAAACCUAGUGGCUCAACCACUAAAUUGCAUUGGAAACUGAUGGA
Molecule: ribosomal RNA, 558 nt
Filed under: uncultured bacterium
Lineage: Bacteria
Description: bacterial SSU rRNA
Rfam family: Bacterial small subunit ribosomal RNA
Source: RNAcentral